This 482-nucleotide long non-coding RNA is filed under the name Olea europaea subsp. europaea. Lineage: Eukaryota; Viridiplantae; Streptophyta; Magnoliopsida; Lamiales; Oleaceae. The record is from RNAcentral.
UAAUAAAGAAACUAGGUUACUAUUUUAGGUAACCAGCAUGUGAAACUUCACGUGAUUUGUUGAUAACCAAAUUGGUCCACACGACCACACCCUUCACAUCAUUUGGAUUUAUUUAUUUAUUUUUAGUACUCUCACUUUUUCUUCCUUGCUAUAAAAAUUUAUAGCCGUGAACUGCGAGAAAAGGAGCAAGACGUCAAAUAGAACGAUUUGGACAGGUGGGCUCAACCUCGAUCCAAUUAAAGAGGCUCGACACCGAGCUUAUUGUGUAGAAGUAGACUCGAUCGCGAGCUCCUGAUAUCUUGGAUUACAGGGAUAGGCUCAACCUCAAGUUUAUCUUCUGGGUACCUUAAAGAAAGGAGACGAUGUGCGGCAUUUUCACCCCUCCAAUGCUAAAAUAUAUUAAUGCAAAGAUAUCAUAAGCGUGAUGGGUAUAAACUCAAUAAUGUUACUUGGAUAAUGGAAAUAAGACAUGCAUUGAUAGG